This 303-nucleotide ribosomal RNA is filed under the name uncultured bacterium. RNAcentral describes it as "partial 16S ribosomal RNA". It matches the Rfam family "Bacterial small subunit ribosomal RNA", at positions 507 to 807 of the family's 1533-position model. The record is from RNAcentral.
AGCAGUCGCCGCGGGAAAACGGAGGGGGCUAGCGUUGUUCGGAAUUACUGGGCGUAAAGCGCACGUAGGCGGCUUGGUAAGUUAGAGGUGAAAGCCUGGAGCUCAACUCCAGAAUUGCCUUUAAGACUGCCGAGCUAGCAGGUGAGAGAGGUAAGUGGAAUUCCGAGUGUAGAGGUGAAAUUCGUAGAUAUUCGGAAGAACACCAGUGGCGAAGGCGGCUUACUGGCUCAUACUGGACGCUGAGGUGCGAAAGCGUGGGGAGCAAACAGGAUUAGAUACCCCUGUAGUCCCUGUCUCUUAUAC